CUAGAUAAUCAGUGCUUCUCCUCUCAAAACUCAUUUCUCUCUCUCUCUAAUCUUCACUAUUCUCUCUGGGUAAACAUCAACGAGAAGCACCAAAUUUCUCCAUUGUUAUUUGCAACUUAUCUGGAUUCCAAAAUGUUGAGCAAACGUCAUCAAUAAAGGUUGUCAGCAGUGGCAUUAUCUCCGGCAGAGGUGUAACCACCGGUUUUCAUACAGAUCCGGUGGCUGUCACUAGAUUGAUGAGGUUUUGGUUGGGAUUCGCGACUUGGUGAGAUGUGCAGGUUAUAAGCCACGCCCCAAAGAAGUGUUGUGGCGUUACUUACACUAAAAAGCGCAAGGCUGGUCAAGUUUAUGGAGUCUCUCUAACUGGUAAUUUAUUGAGUAAGUCCGGUGUUUUUUCCAGAACAGAAAGCCAGUGGUGAAGAUUUUCAGAAGAAAUGGAUUGAGGGUUAUGGAAUUGGGAUCAUUUUAUACAGUUGACAUGUGCACGGUUCAUUUUAUAGAUCCCAUGAAGAUGGCUCAGUAUCAUCACGUAAGCAGCCCUUAUAUCGUUAAACAAGAGUGACAUAGUUGUGAAGUACAUAAAGCUUGAAUGUAGCCCCCUCGGUGGAGCCUGUUAAAAUGAUUGAAAGUGUACAUGUGGAGAAGAAUCACAUUACUGAUCAAGUUGUUGAACCACCAGAGGAAAUCUCAAGUUGCCGAGCCGAGUCCAGUUUUAGGUGUUUUAUAUAUAACUUUCAAGUAUUUGGCAGGUCGGGUGGGUUGUGUAGUGUGUACCAGAGAAAAACUCAUUAUGAAUUAUUCUAAUCAAGCAAGCCAUUGAAGCUUCAGAUUGUUUAAGACCAGAAUUGGACCUUAGAACCGAAGACAUUGUUGAAAUCGAAUUGUGCCUUAGAAUGGGCGUCAGGUUUCCAUACAUAAGGGUAUUGUAAUCUCAAACAAAAGGCUUGUAUAAGCUUGAAGAAGCGGUCAAACUCGCAGCCUUUUCUUUGAAUCUUUCCGGUCGCGAAAAACCUGUCAGGCAGCCUGGAAACAAUAAUGGUGUGAGUCUGGAAACAAUAAUGUUGUAGGUCUGAAGGUGUAAUUCAUGAAAAUUGUAUCACAUUCGCCUUCUACUCUACUUGGACCAAAUUGAGCUCUUUGGGGCUGCCUUAAAUUGGCUCAUGGCUGGUCCAAGAGGCCUGUUCAAUGAUGGUGCACCAUCUAUUGCAGCAGUCUGCAUGCUGCAGUGGCAUAAAACGAAGGCCAACCAGGGAUUACCCCUGUCAUACAGCCUAAAGGUAUUGAAUUGAAAGAUAAUCCAACGGGUGAAUAGGUGGCAGGAGGAUCUGAUUGGAGAAAAGAUGCAGGAGAUGAAGGUGGAGCGAUAAAGGGAAAUAUUACCAUGUAAUUGUUAGCGCUUUGGGUCGCGGGUGGUGCUGGUCCGGGUGGCGCUGACUCAGGCGCUAAGAGGGCGUGACUAAUUUGUUUGCUUUAUUUGUAAGAUCUAAAACACAAGUAUAGACUCCAGCAGCUGCCCCAUCUCAUCUCUUCUGAAGACAUAUAUGUAAUAUGCAAUGUGAAAUGAUUUAUUAAGAAAUUAUAGAACCGAUGAAUCGCAAAUUAAAAACACCACUGUACUGAACAAGCAUAAAAAUGAUUACUUUAAAUUUCCAUU
This is a long non-coding RNA of Helianthus annuus (common sunflower), 1654 nucleotides long. RefSeq lists it as uncharacterized. NCBI's taxonomy places the organism in Eukaryota, Viridiplantae, Streptophyta, Magnoliopsida, Asterales, Asteraceae. The transcript is spliced from 8 exons. The record is from RefSeq and is a predicted model, not a curated record.